CUCAUUUAAGACUUUUACUCAUUUAAGACUUUUAAUAGGAGUUAAUGGUUUAAGGCUCAAUUUAUAAAGUGGAAUACUGGGUACCUUUUUUUUUUGGUGUAUUUCUUGUGUAAAUAUUUACGUAUUUAAAAUUUGCUUCAUUAAACUGAUUUUUGCAGUCUUCAGAGCAGACAAGUAAGAGGAAAGAUUGCCCAUCACCAUUUGAGCAGAAUUUUUUUGUGUUAACACAUGCCUAUAUGGGAGGUUUUAUCAGGUGCUGAAGAAAAAACUGAUCUUUUGUUGGCCAAAUGCCAGCCUUUCAGCAUAAGAGCAGGUAUAUAUUUUUAUUAAAGGUAAAGCAGCAAUAUUUCUUGGUUAAACAAGGCUUUAGACUCCCAUUUCUUCCCAAAGUAUAGGCUGGGUUGUAUGAGGCCCUGCUUGGCUUGAAGAGCUUGGUGAGGCUCACCUGAGGCCCUGUCCCACAACCCUUGCCUGCAUGCCCAGGCCUACUCACCCUUGGGUGGGCCUGCCAAGCUGCAGGUGCUCCUGUGCCAUCCAUUCAUUGCUGACUGGCCUUCUGAGGUGGACUCCAGACCUGUUCUGAAAGUGAAGCUUUAUUAAAGAGACACUGCUGGGAUAAUUUUCUUCAAUUUUGAUUUCUGGGCAUAUGCUGAACAUCUGUCUCUACAGGGAACAUGACAACUCUGGGAUAGCUGUUUUAUCUCUAGGAAGUCUUCAAACAUCACAUGAAUCAAGUCUACUGAGAGCAUACUGCACAAAGCUUAACAACACAAUUUCAGAACAGUAAAAGAAAAUGUUUUUGAAGGAAAAGUGUUUCUGCC
RNAcentral lists this long non-coding RNA (821 nucleotides) under Parus major (Great Tit). Its description in RNAcentral is "lncRNA (ENSPMJG00000015470.1)". Lineage: Eukaryota; Metazoa; Chordata; Aves; Passeriformes; Paridae. The record is from RNAcentral.